RNAcentral lists this ribosomal RNA (445 nucleotides) under uncultured bacterium. RNAcentral describes it as "partial 16S ribosomal RNA". It matches the Rfam family "Bacterial small subunit ribosomal RNA", at positions 354 to 796 of the family's 1533-position model. The record is from RNAcentral.
GUAGGGAAUAUUGGGCAAUGGAUGCAAGUCUGACCCAGCCAUCCCGCGUGCCGGAAGAAGGCCCUCAGGGUUGUAAACGGCUUUUGACGGUGAAGAACCGACAGGAUGCGUCCUGUUUUGACGGUAGCCGUUGAAUAAGCACCGGCUAACUCCGUGCCAGCAGCCGCGGUAAUACGUAGGGUCCGAGCGUUAAUCGGAAUUACUGGGCGUAAAGCGUGCGCAGGCGGUUUUGUAAGACAGAUGUGAAAUCCCCGGGCUUAACCUGGGAAUUGCAGUUGUGACUGCAAGGCUAGAGUGUGUCAGAGGGGGGUAGAAUUCCACGUGUAGCAGUGAAAUGCGUAGAGAUGUGGAGGAAUACCGAUGGCGAAGGCAGGUGGCUGUACCUUAAUCGACGCUGAUGCACGAAAGCAUGGGGAGCAAACAGGAUUAGAUACCCUAGUAGUCC